Molecule: long non-coding RNA, 342 nt
Filed under: Ananas comosus (pineapple)
Lineage: Eukaryota; Viridiplantae; Streptophyta; Magnoliopsida; Poales; Bromeliaceae
Description: long non-coding RNA (ACOM_LNC013022)
Source: RNAcentral
CACAAUUCAACAUUCAAAGUUACUCUUCACUAAUUUCCACAUAUUUAUGAUAACAUACAACCUACCGACCGUCCUUAGAGCAAGUGGCAAAGGACUUGGUGGUUGGUACCCGAGACCCAAGUUCGAAUUCUAGUUGAUUCACAUUUCCAACUAAGUUUAUUUCUAAAUGAAAUAAACGAAGCGGAUAGUGUGCUACCUAUCUCUCUCAAAAAAAAAGAUAACAUGCAAACCUUUUUUCAAAAAUAAAAAAUAUAUCAUCUGUAUAUCUAAUCUUACACCUUUGCAUCUAAAAAUUUUUCUAAACAUCUAAAAUUUUCAAUAUUAAAAAAAAUAGUUGAUAUG